GUUAAAAAGCUCGUAGUUGGAUUUCUGUGUUGGUGAGGCGGCCGGCCACUCGUGGUUGUAGCUAGUUAUCACCGGCGCAUCUUGUCACAAGCCACGCUGGCCUUAACUGGUUGGCGCUGGGGACUGACUCGUUUACUUUGAGAAAAUUAGAGUGUUCAAAGCAGGCUAUCGCCUUGAAUAUGUUAGCAUGGAAUAAUGAUAUAGGACUUUGGUUCUAUUUUGUUGGUUGUUCGAGAACCGAAGUAAUGAUUGAUAGUGACAGUUGGGGGCAUCAGUAUUCUGAAGC
This 286-nucleotide ribosomal RNA is filed under the name uncultured marine eukaryote. RNAcentral's name for it is "partial 18S ribosomal RNA". It matches the Rfam family "Eukaryotic small subunit ribosomal RNA", at positions 618 to 905 of the family's 1831-position model. The record is from RNAcentral.